CUUCAGUGAUGAUACGAUGACGAGUCAGAAUGGGUGCUCAGCUUGAAGGAGUUCGUGUCCAGAGUCACGUUCUGUGCUUCUGAGCAUAGACCCUUUGAGCAGAGUGUCCCUUUCACUUGAAGACAUUGAGGCAUUUGUCUGAGAAGG
Molecule: small nucleolar RNA, 147 nt
Organism: Clarias gariepinus (North African catfish)
Lineage: Eukaryota; Metazoa; Chordata; Actinopteri; Siluriformes; Clariidae
Source: RefSeq, a predicted model, not a curated record